UACGUAGGGUGCAAGCGUUGUCCGGAAUUAUUGGGCGUAAAGAGCUCGUAGGCGGUCUGUCGCGUCUGCUGUGAAAACUCAGGGCUUAACCCUGAGCUUGCAGUGGGUACGGGCAGACUAGAGUGCAGUAGGGGAGACUGGAAUUCCUGGUGUAGCGGUGAAAUGCGCAGAUAUCAGGAGGAACACCGGUGGCGAAGGCGGGUCUCUGGGCUGUAACUGACGCUGAGGAGCGAAAGCGUGGGGAGCGAACAGG
RNAcentral lists this ribosomal RNA (253 nucleotides) under uncultured bacterium. Its description in RNAcentral is "partial 16S ribosomal RNA". It matches the Rfam family "Bacterial small subunit ribosomal RNA", at positions 524 to 776 of the family's 1533-position model. The record is from RNAcentral.